This 407-nucleotide ribosomal RNA is filed under the name uncultured bacterium. RNAcentral describes it as "partial 16S ribosomal RNA". It matches the Rfam family "Bacterial small subunit ribosomal RNA", at positions 30 to 526 of the family's 1533-position model. The record is from RNAcentral.
AUUGAACGCUAGCGGGAUGCCUUACACAUGCAAGUCGAACGGAGUGGCGAACGGGUGAGUAAUGUAUCGGUAUGUGCCCAGUAGCGGGGGAUAACUACGCCAACGCGUAGCUAAUACCGCAUACUAUUGGAGCGGCCUGUACCGGAGUAGCUAGUUGGUGGGGUAACGGCUCACCAUGGCGACGAUCCGUAGCUGGUUUGAGAGGACGACCAGCCACACUGGGACUGAGACACGGCCCAGACUCCUACGGGAGGCAGCAGUGGGGAAUAUUGGACAAUGGGGGCAAGCCUGAUCCAGCCAUGCCGCGUGUGCGAAGAAGGCCUUCGGGUUGUAAAGCACUUUUAGCAGGGAAGCGGUACCUGCAGAAUAAGCACCGGCUAACUACGUGCCAGCAGCCGCGGUAAUUC